Molecule: long non-coding RNA, 3904 nt
Organism: Harpia harpyja (harpy eagle)
Lineage: Eukaryota; Metazoa; Chordata; Aves; Accipitriformes; Accipitridae
Exons: 5
Source: RefSeq, a predicted model, not a curated record
CCAAAAGGUAUUUCCUGCUCUUCAGUCAUCUAAAAUGUGAGGCAGAUGAUGUUAGCAAUAACAUUAUGGAAGUCAUUUGCUCACUUUUAACACUGCUCUAAUGAGGAUGAUAGAAUGAGGUAGAACUUAAAAGGAAAGAAAGAAGUUAAGAGAUUUCUUCCCUUGCUUUCUUUAGGGACAUUUAUGGCUGCUGGCCAAGUUCAACCAGGAUCGAAGACACUGAAUUCCUUAAGAACACUGAAGGUGGUAGAUCAAGGAGAGAGACUAGCAUCGCUGCAACCCCCUGACAUAGUGGCAACAUGGUGAAACCAACAGUUAUCUGAUCUGCUUGGCCUGCUGACUAGCACGGAACUUCUUGGGAGGAUUGGUGCUACAAAAGUCCUUACUGUAUCUGAGUAAGAAGGAAGAAUAUCUCUGCCCAUCUUCCAGAAGAUAGGAAUCACAGCAGUUAACUGAGACAGAUGCUGCAUUUCCUGAAAAGUUUUUGUCUGGUUUUAGUUCAAUCAGCCAACUGUUUCAUUCUGACAUGUAAACAAAAUAACUGCGAGAGAGACAGCCAUCAAACAGGGUCCAUGUAUUCUAAAGCUUGGCUUCAGAGAACAUCAAAUAUUACUUCAUGAUUCCAUCUUAAAUGUAAAAUAACUGCUGAGUUGUGAUUGCUUUUAACAUUAUAGUUGGAAUAUAGAAGUAAAAUGUUACGUAGUAUGAAGGGAUUCAUUAUUUCAUUAUUAAAAGUUACCUAUUCUAGUGUUGGAAAGUAGUUAUGUCUGUCAUUCCCUUAUUUCUAUCAGACAGGUCAUAUUUCUAUAUAAUCACAAGAAAUAGUAUCUCUGGAAAACACUUCUGUAUAUGAGGGAGCAAAUCAGAAGCAGCUGAAACCCCUAUUUUGUGUAGCAGUGACACCUCUGCCAGUUCUGCCUCAAGUGCUAUAAGAAGUGGUGUGCAAGAAAACUCACAGAGCAGAAGCAAUUAAGAUUGAAAGAGAGAAAGACUGAAAAUUAUCAGACAAAACAUUGCAAGGUCAGGAUGCCAAGGCACAUCAAGGAACGUUAAUAGAGACAAGGAUGUCUGAAUACUGACUAUAGGGGAAUUUUGUGGUAUUUGAAAUAACAUGUCUAAAAACAUGUUGAAGCACUACAUGGUUCUUGGGAUGGUUUUAUACAGUCUCAGAAAUAUUUAGUAAACUAAAUCAUCAGUAAAUGACCUGCAGAAAUAAAAGCUGCAGGGAAAGAAAAGUGUCUGUGUCUACACUAUUUUGACAAUAUUAACAGCAGCACAAACACAACACUAUGUAAUUGUUCGUUAGGGAAGCAUUUUGUAAAGUAUGAAGUAGCCUUUGUAUGCGACCUUGCAAAACGGAGGGCUGGGAUUUGCAAGGAUACUUAAGCUGGAAAUUCUCUUUCCUUUUGCUGGAGGAGAAGCUGGGGGUUUUUGUUUGUUUGUUUCCUGUAAUCAUUGUUUUCUAUUCUACAAAAGUUAAAGCCAAACAGUCCCCUGAAUUACACUUGCAAGGGUCUUAGUGUUUCUGUGUUAGUUUUGGCUCCACAUCAAUCUGUACAUGAGACUUUUCCCCCACCACACCCCACAGACAGUCUCCUCCAUACUGCAGAAUAACUAAGUGCCAAGAGAUCAGGAUACUUUUGUGUGUUGAGUGAGAGCCAAGUGAAGUUUUUCUUCUAAGACUGACACUCCUAUCAAUGCAUAUUGUUAGCAUGAAGAGGGGCUAUUCCAACAAAGAACAUUGUACAAAACCAGUUCUACAGCACAUUGACUACAGCUCCUUCCUGGGAUUUUGGAGAACUGAGCUGGAUUUUCUACUACGGUAAAGAUACAGCAAGCACUGUACUCUCAUUUGACCAGAAAUUUCACUUUCCAACUGAGAAAACAAUGUGGUGCAAGUCCAGCAAAAACUUUGAGACAGUAGUUUCCAAAACAAAAACCAAGCAAACAUACCUCAAAAAUCUUCCUUCAGGUGGCAGAAGCAACAGAACUACUAAAUGAAUUCAAGGAAAUUUUCCAAGCAGGCCUGCUCAGUUUCUGAAGGGACAACAAGGCUAGAAGGAAAAGGUAGGUCUUAUUCCCACCUUAAAUGGAAAAGAGUGAAGGAAACGUUGUGCAAAUGGUAAAACACUGUCAGCAAUGGAGGGAGCUGUGUCCUCGGGGGGGAGAGGUAUACACACACUGUAUGAGAAGAUAGCUUUUAUAGACAUGAAGUAGUUACAUAAUAUGAUGAAAUGCAGAGAGGCAGGGCUCUAGGGCACAAUCAUUCUCUGCUGGCAAAAUGCUCGUUCAUGCAAAAAACAUUUCCAAACAACAAAUUAACCCAACAGGAAUAGAAAUUGCAGCUGUAAAGACAAAAAUGCCAUACUCAGCAUUAAGGUUAUUCUGACUGAUAACUCUGUGUGUGAGGAGCGUUCCUCUUUAGCUCCAUAUUCCCCAUCCAUUCAACAAAGCAAGCAACACAACCUUAAACUAGGUGCAUGAAAACACUGGGGAGAUUUCUCCCUCUAAAAUUUUAUGCGUCCUUUUGUAUUUUUAACCUGAUUUCCUAAAGGAGUAAUAUCUAUUGUGGUAGUGCUGGCAGGUUGUCCAUUCAUCCAUCCACUUGUUUCAUGAACUUUCCCUCUCUUUCAAAAACUUUGGGACCUUUUUGCUAGUGUUUAUCAAAUUUGAUGGAAGGGUAGAAGUCUUACAACUCUGUAAAUCUGUGGGCCAAGAAGAAGAGACCCACCCUUCCACUGGAGAAAAGACAGGCAGAACUCACUGGUUAUGCUGGUGCUUGGUAUAACCCAUCUUAGUCAUGACAUUUUGUGAUUUUAUACAUCAAAUUAAAUAUAUUUUCAUAACCUCCAUGCAUGCUAGUGGACUAGACUGCUGAAUGGCCAGGAUGUUGGGAAUGAUUGUGAGGGGAGAAAAAUUAAAUUUCUUCUGUAGAAGGGUAAUCUUAUUGAAGUGACUAGUGUCGUAUGCUCCUUUUUGAAGUAUUUGCAUUAAUUGUGUUUCCAAGGCCAUAAGGAAAUCUGCUGCAGGUAUAUGAACCAACAGGCAGAAAUAUAUGAGGUGGAGUGGAGAGGGCAAUGUCAAAUUGUAGUUUUUUGAACAUAUUUCUAAUCACAGAUAGGUACUAGUCCCUCAGCAGCACCUUCUAGACAUCAAAGCGAGUCCCUUCAGAAACUGUUUCUCUUUAUUUACUAUCCUUCUUGCUUUCAUAUGUCUAACACAGUGUCUCGUCUCAGCUGUAGGUGACUACCUUGAAUUUGCUUAGUUUUCUCACACAGCUUUAUUUAUCAUGCUUUUUAAUUCCAUGUGUACUUUGAGGGAUGCUUCCUAAGUUUUAUUUAUUUUUUAUAUGUUCUUCCCUUACUUCCCAUCACAUCUGUCCAAUGAACAACACCAUCUCACGGUAGCUAUUCUUUUAUUAAUACUUAACUGAUUAAAGAAUAUAUUUUUUUUAAUAAUUUGUGGGUAAUGCACAGCUAUAAAACUUGAAAGUUACCUAUUUGAUAUUUUACUUACAAAAAUUUUAGCAUAAGAUGAUGUUGGCCAUCUAAUUAGAAUGAGAGGAGAAGCUGAAUACUUGAUAGGUAUAAAAGGUAACUUCUCUUUGCCAGAUAUCAGCAUCUAAUGGGCUAAUUUCCAUUUCUUAUUUCUGCAUUAGUGUAUCCUAUCUUUAUCAAAUCACAACACUGUUGUAGAGGUAAAAAUCCUAAUCAAUCAGGCCUGAAGUGUUUUCUAAAUGAGAGUCUAUAAUUAAAGAGUUUAAGUCUCAUAGAAAGCAACAUAUGACUAUCCUGGCAGUCCCUAGGAAAAAAGAAGUACUAGAUACGAAAUCAGGAGAGCCACUGUAUCCAUUGUUUAUACAAUAAAAAACUGAGAAUGUGUUAAAAAAGAAAAGAGCAAACCA